Long non-coding RNA from Stomoxys calcitrans (stable fly), 4170 nucleotides. RefSeq lists it as uncharacterized. NCBI's taxonomy places the organism in Eukaryota, Metazoa, Arthropoda, Insecta, Diptera, Muscidae. The transcript is spliced from 3 exons. The record is from RefSeq and is a predicted model, not a curated record.
UUAGUGAAAAUCCAACGGGUGUGUUCUGCCAGAUUAAUUUGGUAGAAAAUCAAAAGAAAACAGUCGGCAAAAAAUCGGAUCAUUUGUUUCAAAAACAAAACGCAGUUCCAAUGAAAAAAUAAGUAAAAACGCCUUUAGUUUGGCUUAUUUUUUCAUAUCAGGAUAUAAAAUACGCCUUAUGUGAUCUCCAGCUUUGACUAUAUUUAGCAAGGAUAUAGAGAGGCACAAUAUAGCCCAAUCUUCCAUUUGUUCUGCGAAAUCAGAUAAAAAUGCUUCAUUUAUAAAAUCGCGAGGUAGAUCCGUAUGACAGAUGAAUCGAGAUAUGGUCCGAUUUAAAUCGGAUUUGGGAUAGGUGUCAGUGUUCUAAUACCACUCUGUAUAACAAAUUUCCGUAUUUUAAGGCAAAAAUACCUGCUACAAUAAAUGAAUUCUGGAAGUCUAAUCGACCGAUCUACAUACAUGGCAAGUGCAAAUUUGCCAAUGAACAUUCCAUUACGGAACAGAGAUAAACAGCGCUGUCCGAUUCAAGUUUAAGCUCAAUAACAAGGGACCUCUUUGGGGAGAAGUUUUUACAAGGCAUAGUACUUCACAAAUGUCGCCAACAAUAGGAGGGGAUAACCACCGCUGAUGUUGUCCCUUGGAUUCGAACCCAGGCGAACAGAUUCGUAGGCAGACAUGCUAACCUCUGCGUUACGGUAAUUUCUUAUUUUGAAUGUGUGCCGCUGAGAAUGAUGAUUGAUAAUUUCUCGGAAGAUUGAUGCUAUUAAAUAUUAAUUGAAAAGUACAACUUUUACAUUUGUGUUUAUCUAUAUGACCACAACAAGACUAAUUCCAUUUAAUUUUUAAUAUCCUCAAACUGUUUUGGUCGAACGACGACAGGUGCAAAUAGCGCACUUUUUUUUAAAUGCCAUUGUUAAAUAAUUUAUAAAAUAUAUGUUUUUGUAUUCUUUUUUUUCUCAAUUUUAGGAAAUUUAAAUGACUCUCCGCUCGAUGCAACUGAUUGUCCGCGACUGCCGUUGCAGCUACCCCGUAUGGAGCAUUCCACUAUCCGCAACCUCUGGACGCGCCCGGUAGCUCGCAACCAAGCUUCUCGUGACAGCAAUUAACACCACAUAUAUUGGAGCUCAUUGUUCCAGCCUGUGUGGUGUGUGUUCUAUCUUUCGUCUGCUUGAUUCUGUUGAGUGACCUGAUCCCGGAACUCUACGACUAAGAUGGGGUGCGUCCAGAAGGAUCUGGGUCUCAUUUGAGUGGGUCCGGCUGGACAGGUAAACAGGUGACGUGCGUCGUAUGGUCGCUGGUCACAAUCGCAACAUACAUCCUACACGUUGGCAUCAAUCCUUGCUCUGUAGGAAUUGAGGCGGCUGCAUCUGCCGGAUCGUAGUUGAGCCAGAAGUUCUCUGGUUUGCCGGGGGAGGUCAAUUUCUUCAGGUGCAAUGAGAGAUGGUCAUUCUCCAAGGACCACAUUCACCCGGUAGCUAUUCAUCGUAUCUGCUACCGUGUCUGCUUGAAUGUUGUCUAUAUCCGCUUGAUACGCUUGAUCUAGAGGUUUAUAUAAAUACUGCGGUUUAUAUAAAUAACGCGCGGUUAUCCGAUAUAGAGAUGCUUUGUCAUCUGGUUACAAAGACAAGUGGUGAGGCCGGAGAAAUCGUCUCGCGAUUUCCUCUUACGAACGGCUGUUUUGCCUUAGCCUGGGAUGCCCUUCGAGAAAACUACGUGUGUUGGUUAACGGCCAGUUGAGAAAGUUCUUCGAUUUACCUAUUUUGGAUCAAGAAACUACGUCGGGAUUGAAGAACUUCCAACACGGUAUUAAGAGUCGUUUAUCUGCAAUGUCAGUCUAUCAUGUUGAUAUGUGGGAUCAUUUAAUCGUUUUUAUGUGCUUUCAACGUUUGUCUAAUUGCUUUGUAACACUUUGGGAUUAAAGUGUACGGAAUCAGUCCGCUCUGUCAACAUGGAAGGAAAUGGAUCUCUUUCUCACGGAAAGAAUUCAGAAAUUAACAUGCCUUAGCGAACUCAAAGGCACGAGUAAUAAUUUCAGAUCAGCUAAAGGAUACAAAACUGUAAAUGAUAAUUUCAGCAACUCGAGAACCUCGACUUCCACCCCUAAUUCUUCGAGAAUGGCAUGCGUGCUAUGUCCUGGUCAGUUUACGACAGUACGGCGACAUCAGGGGUCGAAUUACCGCAUACGUGAACGAGUAAAAUAGUUUGAAAAUUUUUGUUUUGCCAUUACCACAUUCGUUAACGAAUAAGCACUAUCGAUAUUCGAGAUUAUGGCAUUCGUUAACGAGUGUAACUGCUAGGAGUCAGGAGCAAUCGAAUGGAAUCGUUACUUGAAAUAAAAUGGCCGACAAAAGGUUGAAAUGGCUCAAUUCAUGACCAUCCGAGUUUGGCAAAAGUAUGUUGCCAAAUUGUAACCAAGGGAAGUUUAUAGGCUAUAGAAGGAAUAGUUCCCCCAGUUAAAUGAAUCUACCACCAGUGUUUAUAUCAACAACUCACUGUGUAAGAAAACAUUGGACUUUUUUAACUAUGAUGAGGCACUAACAAAUUAUGGAUAUAGGUUCGUUUAUGCGAGAAAUGGCCGUGUCUUCUACAAACGUAGUGAGAUAUGUAAUGCAAAAGUUAUAAAUUCUACUGAGGAAGUUGAUAAACUAAUACUUAAUGCCACAAAAAAUAAAUUGAGAGUGAUGCUCCUAAUGUUUUCGAAGAUGAUGACGGCUUUGGCGUCCGGUUUACAUGGGAGCUAUAUCAGGUUAUAGACUGAUUUGGACCAUACUUGGCACAGUUGUUGAAAGUCAUAACAAUGCACUACAUGCUCAAUUUCAGACAAAUCGGACAUAAAUUGCGGCUUGUAAGGGCUCAAGAGGUUAAAGCGGAAUAUCGGUUUAUAUGGGAGCUAUAUAUAAAUCUGAACCGAUAAGGCCAAUUUGCAAUCCCCAACGACCUACCAAAUUUCAAGUGGCUAGCUUUACGCGUUCGAACUCUAUCGUGAUUUCGACAGACGGACGGACAUGUCUAGAUCGACUCAGAACGUCGAGACCAUCAAGAAUAUAUAUUCUUUAUGCGGUCUUAGACGAAUACUUCAAGGUGUUACAAACGAAAUGACUAGAUUAGUAUACUCCCAUCCUAUGGUGGUGGGUAUACAAAAAAAUAUUCUGUUGAUUUAUUGGUCUUUUUAUACCCACCACCGAUGGAUGGAGGUAUAAUCAUUUUGUCAUUCCGUUUGCAACACAUCAAAAUAUCCAUUUCCGAGAAUAUAUAUUCUUGAUCGUCGUAAAAAUCUAAGACUGGCCCCGAUCGGUCCGAUAUCUCGAUUUAAGGCCUUAGGCCCAAAAAAAGCGCAUUUCUUGUCCGAUUUCACCGAAAUGUGGGACAGUGAGUUGUUUUAGGCCCUUUGACAUCCUUCUUCAAUUUGGCCUAGAUCGAUCCAAAUUUGGAUAUAGCUGCCAUAUAGACCGAGCUCUCAAUUUAAGAGUUUGGCCCCAUAAACGACGCAUUUAAAUCCGAUUUCGCCGAAAUUUGGGACAGAGGAUAGUGUUAGUCCGUUCGACAUCCCUCUUCAAUUUGGCCCAGGUCGGUUCAGAUUUGGAUAUAGCUGUCAUAAAGAUAAAUCUCUCGAUUUAAAGUCCAUGGCCCCAUAAAAGGCGCAUUUAUAAUCCGAUUUCGCUGAAAUUUGACAUAGUGACUUGUGUUAGGCUUUUCGACACCCUUGUCCUAUAUGAUUUAGAUCGGUCUGUAUUUGGAUAUAGCUGCGAAAAAGACCAAUAUUUUAUUCAAUAAAAUUUAACAGUGACUUCCAAAUCGGACCAUGGCAUACGGGGGCAUAAAUUAUGCUUUUUUUUCACCGGAUUAUGACGAAAGGUGGUUUACAUAUAUACCCGAGGUGGAACUUUUUGAAUUGAAAUGCAAACUACAUUUUGUUCAGCUAUGGAAUAUUAUUAAUUUUUCUCUGAAUCAAUAAAACAAUGUGGAUAUGGCGUAAAGGAAAUUCUAUGAAAAUUAAUAUGGUGCUUUCCUCUUUGCUGAUUCUAAACAAUUGGGAAUUUCUCCAAAGCCACUGACAACCUCAAGUGUAAAUGUUUUUAUUUGAAUUGUUAAUAUAUAUGAAAUACAUAUUCGCAAAGUGUAUACACGAAAAAUAUUAAUAAACAAAAGACAAGAUAUAAAUAAAUAAAU